This 290-nucleotide ribosomal RNA is filed under the name uncultured Vogesella sp. RNAcentral's name for it is "partial 16S ribosomal RNA". It matches the Rfam family "Bacterial small subunit ribosomal RNA", at positions 1 to 297 of the family's 1533-position model. The record is from RNAcentral. Lineage: Bacteria; Pseudomonadati; Pseudomonadota; Betaproteobacteria; Neisseriales; Chromobacteriaceae.
GUCAGAGUUUGAUCCUGGCUCAGAUUGAACGCUGGCGGCAUGCUUUACACAUGCAAGUCGAACGGUAACAGGGAGCUUGCUCCGCUGACGAGUGGCGAACGGGUGAGUAAUGCGUCGGAACGUGCCGAGUAGUGGGGGAUAACGCAGCGAAAGUUGUGCUAAUACCGCAUACGUACUGAGGUAGAAAGUGGGGGACCUUCGGGCCUCACGCUAUUCGAGCGGCCGACGUCUGAUUAGCUAGUAGGUGAGGUAAGAGCUCACCUAGGCGACGAUCAGUAGCGGGUCUGAGA